GCCGCGGGAACACCGGCGGCCCGAGUGGUGAUCGUGAUUAUUGGGUCUAAAGGGUCCGUAGCCGGUUUGGUCAGUCCUCCGGGAAAUCUGAUAGCUCAACUAUUAGGCUUUCGGGGGAUACUGCCAGACUUGGAACCGGGAGAGGUAAGAGGUACUACAGGGGUAGGAGUGAAAUCUUGUAAUCCCUGUGGGACCACCUGUGGCGAAGGCGUCUUACCAGAACGGGUUCGACGGUGAGGGACGAAAGCUGGGGGCACGAACCGGAUUAGAUACCCGGGUAGUCCCAGCCGUAAACGAUGCUCGCUAGGUGUCAGGCAUGGCGCGACCGUGUCUGGUGCCGCAGGGAAGCCGUGAAGCGAGCCACCUGGGAAGUACGGCCGCAAGGCUGAAACUUAAAGGAAUUGGCGGGGGAGCACAACAACGGGUGGAAGCCUGCGGUUUAAUUGGACUCAACGCCGGACAACUCACCGGGGGCGACAGCAAUAUGUAGGCCAAGCUGAAGACUUUGCCUGAAUCGCUGAGAGGAGGUGCAUGG
Molecule: ribosomal RNA, 535 nt
Filed under: uncultured archaeon
Lineage: Archaea
Description: bacterial SSU rRNA
Rfam family: Archaeal small subunit ribosomal RNA
Source: RNAcentral